RNAcentral lists this ribosomal RNA (253 nucleotides) under uncultured bacterium. RNAcentral's name for it is "partial 16S ribosomal RNA". It matches the Rfam family "Bacterial small subunit ribosomal RNA", at positions 524 to 776 of the family's 1533-position model. The record is from RNAcentral.
UACGUAGGGGGCAAGCGUUGUCCGGAUUUAUUGGGCGUAAAGAGCGUGUAGGCGGCCAGGUAGGUCUGCUGUGAAAACUCGAGGCUUAACCUCGAGCUGUCGGCGGAAACCAUCUGGCUAGAGUCCGGAAGAGGAGAAUGGAAUUCCCGGUGUAGCGGUGAAAUGCGCAGAUAUCGGGAAGAACACCCGUGGCGAAAGCGGCUCUCUGGAACGGUACUGACGCUGAGACGCGAAAGCGUGGGGAGCGAACAGG